CUGGCUCAGGAUGAACGCUAGCGGCAGGCUAACACAUGCAAGUCGAGGGGCAGCGGGAUGUAGCAAUACAUUGCCGGCGACCGGCGGAUGGGUGCGUAACGCGUAUGCAACCUACCUUAUACAGGGGAAUAACCUUUCGAAAGGGAGACUAACACCCCAUAGUAUUGAUUUAAGGCAUCUUAGAUUAAUUAAAUAUUUAUAGGUAUAAGAUGGGCAUGCGUAUGAUUAGCUAGUUGGUAAGGUAACGGCUUACCAAGGCGACGAUCAUUAGGGGUUCUGAGAGGAAGGUCCCCCCACACUGGUACUGAGACACGGACCAGACUCCUACGGGAGGCAGCAGUGAGGAAUAUUGGUCAAUGGGCGCAAGCCUGAACCAGCCAUGCCGCGUGCAGGAAAGACGGCCUUAUGGGUUGCAAACUGCUUUUACAUAAGACUAACCGUAUAUUUGCGAAUAUACCUGAAUGUAUUAUGAGAAUAAGGAUCGGCUAACUCCGUGCCAGCCGCCGC
RNAcentral lists this ribosomal RNA (507 nucleotides) under uncultured bacterium. RNAcentral's name for it is "bacterial SSU rRNA". It matches the Rfam family "Bacterial small subunit ribosomal RNA", at positions 19 to 518 of the family's 1533-position model. The record is from RNAcentral.